This is an RNA transcript of Pygoscelis adeliae (Adelie penguin), 2663 nucleotides long. It is a transcript of the gene named shisa family member 2, with no coding region annotated. The transcript is spliced from 3 exons. The record is from RefSeq and is a predicted model, not a curated record. Lineage: Eukaryota; Metazoa; Chordata; Aves; Sphenisciformes; Spheniscidae.
AAAAGUACCCGCGCUUAGAUACGUCUUUUUCCCUCCCUAUUAUUUGAAGGUCCGGCCCUGUCUUCUUUAGAAGUAGGUGAGACCGCUUUCCGACAGCCUUGGACAAGCUGGUUGUCGUGUGCGGCUCUGCCACCGCUCUGAAUCGGCUCCUCAGCCCUGUUUGUGCUCCCAGUUAAAAAGGGAAGGAAAAAAUGAAACGACCCAUGUGAGCGAGACAAAAAAAGAGUAACGUGACGUUUCAAAAUUACUUCUGGCCGGUCCCCGUUUUAAUUGUAUACAUCCUUCCAGCUCAGAUACCCUGCUUAGGACUGGUUUUUACAAGACUGAAUUUCAAGGAUGAACUCGAGUCUUUCUGCUGCUGUUUAAAAAAAGCCUCGGUGGCUUCCCAGCACCCUUGCUGCCAUCCCCACAUGCUGAACGCACUAGAAGUAGCCUGAAGUGAUGUUAUAAUUAGGACAGAUUUACUCUCAGAAAACUUGUGUGUUACAGUCUGUAGCAAGCGUGUCCACCUGCUAAGAGCUACUGUAUCGCCAGGCGCAGAAGUAGAGACAAUUUUUUGCAAGUCUUUUGUUUAAAAAGUGCUAAAAUUAUGGGAGAAAUGUGGCCUUUUGGUUAAUAACUCACUCCACAUAAUCAGCUGUGCAAGGAGGUAUUCUGACUUGGGUGGACAGAUAACUCCCUUUGCAGUUCGGAGAACAAGGCAUUUUUCUUAAUUAAUUUUCUUAACAGUAUUUACUGCUCAGCGGGUUUGGGAGCUGUCGCCCUGCGCUGGCACUGGUUAGCUCACAGGAGGGGCAGCUGCGUCCCCUGCCCCUGUGCCCAGGGCACGUUGUUAGCAGCGGCUGCGUUAGCGCCUGUCGGGCAGGGGGCCGCAACCCUGCCUGAGUCUCCGGGUUGCCGGUUUUCGCUGGAAAUGAUGAAGUCCCGGCGUGUUGUUGGGAGUGUUCACAAGCGCUGAAGGGAGGCACCUUCCCCUCAUUAUUCCUGGAUAUAUCCAUGCAGAUUUCUUACUGAGGCAGAGAAAACGGCUUUUUCCCUGGGAGUGCAGAGCAACUGGAGCCCAGGUCCUUCCAAGGAUGGUGUUCGCCAUCCGCCUUGUCGGGCUCCUGACCCCACGGCUGAAGCAUCGCCUGUAGUCUCUGCUCCCAGCCCUCGCCCACCCUCACUCCUCCUGCCCUGAUGUCCCUUCUUUAAGCCUCGCAAGGGGGAAUGCUGGUAGUGAAGCUUUGGAGCAUGGUGCUGUCGCCCUAUCGCCCCUCCCCGUGGUUUCUCCCCAGUCCCAGGGCUGAAGUGCAGAGCAGCUGGACACUCAUCCCUGGGGCUGGAGGGUGGCAGAGUCCCUGUGACUGCUGCUCGGGUGCUGCCUGGCUAUCCCCCUGCCCUGAGGGGUGGCAGCAGCCGGAGAGGGCCUGCAAUGGGGAGGGAUGUGAUGCAGCACUGGGGUUUGACCACCCCGUGCUCCUGAGCCCUGAGCAGGCAUCCUGCCCCCAAAGUAUAUCCCUGUGGCACUGUUCAGACCCAGCGUUCUCUUGCCUGAGUUUUCUAGCGGGGCGUAUUGGAGACAAGAUCUGGUGAGAUGUGGAGCGGUGGUUGAUGUGGAUUAGACCACCAUCAGUGGGAGCGAGCCGUCCUCCCUCGAGGCUGCCCAUCUACGUGCCGUUCCUUAUUGUUGGAUCUGUAUUUGUUGCCUUCAUCAUCUUGGGGUCGCUGGUGGCGGCUUGCUGCUGCAGAUGCCUGCGGCCCAAGCAGGAGCCCCAGCAGAGCCGAGCCCCCGGGGGCACCCGCCUGAUGGAGACUAUCCCCAUGAUCCCAAGUGCCAGCACCUCCCGGGGCUCCUCCUCCCGCCAGUCGAGCACCGCCGCCAGCUCCAGCUCCAGCGCCAACUCGGGGGCCAGAGCCCCCCCAACCAGGUCCCAGACCAACUGCUGUUUGCCAGAAGGGACCAUGAAUAACGUCUACGUCAACAUGCCGACGAACUUCUCGGUGCUGAACUGCCAGCAGGCUACCCAGAUCGUGCCGCACCAGGGGCAGUACCUGCACCCCCAGUACGUGGGCUACGCUGUGCAGCACGACUCGAUGCCGCUGACCCCGGUGCCCCCUUUCCUCGACGGUUUGCAGAGCGGCUACAGGCAGAUCCAGUCUCCCUACCCCCACACCAACAGCGAACAGAAGAUGUACCCAGCUGUGACUGUGUAGCGCUGACACCUUCCUCCCCCUCCCCACCCGGCAGAUUUUAAUAUCUAAACUGAAUGGAGGAGAAAUACUUCCUCGGAGCGAAGCUCCCAGAACAUCACUUGUAAAUAAUUUUGAAAGGCUCAUGCAUGUCAGACAGUGUUUAUACACCAUUUAUUUUCAUCAGGGUCCGUUGCCAGAAACUGUAGGAUGAUAUCUCUGAAUUAACGUUGCCAGAUACGCUCUCAUUCCAGUGCAUGAUUUACAGCGGCGAAGGAUUACGCUGAAAAUGCAUAUGUAUUUCAGAUCACUGUACUUGCGAGAUAAAUGCCGGAGCCAUUAAGUGCCCUUCAGACAAUCACAACCGAGAGCCGAACAGUGCAAUCCGUGCGUGCCAGAUGCUGGUACCAGCCUCCAUGGUUACUUACGCACCCCUGGUUUGGGGUGAAAUGCCACGAAAGGCUUAGUCUUGCAAAGACCAAUUUUCUUUG